Molecule: long non-coding RNA, 1841 nt
Filed under: Theobroma cacao (cacao)
Lineage: Eukaryota; Viridiplantae; Streptophyta; Magnoliopsida; Malvales; Malvaceae
Description: long non-coding RNA (TCAC_LNC002400)
Source: RNAcentral
CAAAGGAAGAAAAGGGAAAAAAAGAAGAAGAACAAAAACCUAGCUAAGAAAUUCAAGAGAAAUUCACAAAAUUUUAAAGAAUCAAGUGACAAAAGGUAAAAUUUCUUGAUUUUGACUUGUGAUCUACCUAUCCCAUGCAUCCUUUUUGAUUUUCCAUGGUUGAAUCAUAUGGUUUCAUGAUGGGUCUCUUGCUGGCCGGACAUGGGGGGAGGAGUUUUGAUGCUUGAUUUGGUUAGAUUUCAAUGUAUUUUAGUGUUUUUAGUUAGUUAGUGAAGUGUGGCAUGAAAAACCAACAAGAAAAAUUCAUUUUCUCCCAUUACCCAUCAUUGGCCGAAUUCUCCAUGUGGAAUAUUGAUGAUGAUUUUGAUUGUUAUUUCGAGUGAUUUGGUUAGGAAAUAAUGAAUUUCGGUGAGAAAAUCGACUAGGAAAAAUCAUAGUGUUGAUGCACCCACCAUGGUCGAAAUUCCCAACAGAAAAUGUGAAGGUGAUGUUGCUAAAUUUUAUGCUAUUGAAUUUGUGAUUGAUGGUUUGGAGAAUUGGAAGAAAAAUGGAGUUAAUUGAAGUUGAAUUGGCCAAUUAAUUAAGUGAUAGAUCGAAUUAGGCAAACACCGUGUUUAGACGAUAAUUCGAACAAUUUGCAUUCCAUUUCAUGCAUCCAUAUAGUUUUAUAACGGUUUAGCACUAAUGUGGUAAAUUGCUUGAUUUUGCAUCAUGUCUAGGUGGUGAAUCCUCCGCUAAGGGCAAAGAAAUUGUACCCGAGGAUCGGUAGUCAGAGUACUUUAAAAAAUUCAACUUCCGAGAUAGUGAGUAACCCUACUAUCAUUUUAAUUAUCUAAAGUGGUUUUUAUCCGAUUUUGUGAAUUUUAUGGAAAAUGAGUUUAAAUGGUUAAUUUUUAGGUUUUAUAAACAAAAUGUGUUUAAAUGAAAUGAUUUUAAAAAUUGUCUUGAAAUUGAAUGAGGAAUUUGAAAAUAGAGUAAUUGGAGACCAUUUGAUGUGUUGUAAAUUUAUGGUUCUAAUUGAUGGCUUAUGAUAAUGUGUUGGCAUGACUGGCUGGAAUUGUGGUUUGUGAACUGUAUGAUUUGUUCUGUUUUACAUUUACAGGUUGGGUAGUAUAAUAUUAGUCAUGUCAUGCUGUCAAAAUUUUAUUGUAUGGUGGGUUUAGCUUGCUGCAGUGGGCGGGUUCCGUGGACCAGCCUAUUAGAGGGGCACGAAAUCCGGUUAUAUAUGUACCUUGAUCGGAGAGGCGCGUAGGGUAUCUCCUGAGGUAUGGUUAGAGUUCACGUCACGCCGAACCACCUCGUGAUGAUGAACUCCGCUAACGCCAAGGGACGGCUGUGUUUUCCAAACUAAAAAUAUGUUUAUGUGUAUACGAAAUUUUUAACAACCUUGGCGGACUCGGUUAAAUGCCUCGGCCAAGGUAUUCCCGAAAAUGAUUUUGGCAGGAGCCAAGCUUUUAAGAUACUCAUAAGCCAUGUUGAUUAUUUAAAUGAAAUGAAUAUUUAUGUUAUGAAAUACAUAUUGAGAUUGACUAUUUUAAUCGUCUCCAUUUACUCGACUUUAGAUAUUUUGGAUGAUGUUUGUUUACUCACUGGGAUUAUAUAAUCUCACCACCCUUCUUUUCACCCAUAUCAGGCUCAGAAUAGGCUGUGGAUAGUUGGUUUCAUCGAGGCUACCAUUGGAUUUGCAUCCUCUAAAUUGUAGGUUCACAGUUUUCCUUACUUUUGGUUAUUCGGGGGUCCACUGGUUAUUGUAAAUUAAAUUAAAUACUCUGGCUUACUGUAUUACAGUAUGUAUGAAUUUAUUUUGCUUUUACGCUGCAAAAAUUAUUUACGUAUAACUC